AACCAGGACGUUCAUUGUUAACUCUCUGCAAAAAGCCGAAACAACUCCAACUACUUCAUCCAAGAUUUAUCAUCCAUGGCCUCAUCCAGAACCCCACACUCUCUUCUCAACCGGUUGACUCCUAUGCCAUAGCUCCAAAAAAAAAUCUUCAAUUCUGUCUCCAAUCCAUCACCCUUUUGUAUAACACAAAUUUAAGAAACUUUGCCACGUUUGGAGACUUUAAAUGUACCCUUUUUUCGUACAAGAAAUGGGUUUAAAUUCCAUGCGCCCUGAUGAGGAAACAUACCCAUUUG
Molecule: unclassified non-coding RNA, 293 nt
Filed under: Hevea brasiliensis (rubber tree)
Lineage: Eukaryota; Viridiplantae; Streptophyta; Magnoliopsida; Malpighiales; Euphorbiaceae
Source: RNAcentral